AACGAACGCUGGCGGCAUGCCUAACACAUGCAAGUCGAACGAGACCUUCGGGUCUAGUGGCGCACGGGUGCGUAACGCGUGGGAAUCUGCCCCUUGGUUCGGAAUAACUUCGGGAAACUGAAGCUAAUACCGGAUAAUGACGUAAGUCCAAAGAUUUAUCGCCAAGGGAUGAGCCCGCGUAGGAUUAGCUAGUUGGUGGGGUAAAGGCUCACCAAGGCGACGAUCCUUAGCUGGUCUGAGAGGAUGAUCAGCCACACUGGGACUGAGACACGGCCCAGACUCCUACGGGAGGCAGCAGUGGGGAAUAUUGGACAAUGGGCGAAAGCCUGAUCCAGCAAUGCCGCGUGAGUGAUGAAGGCCUUAGGGUUGUAAAGCUCUUUUACCCGGGAAGAUAAUGACUGUACCGGGAGAAUAAGCCCGGCUAACUCCGUGCCAGCAGCCGCGGUAAU
This 449-nucleotide ribosomal RNA is filed under the name uncultured bacterium. RNAcentral describes it as "bacterial SSU rRNA". It matches the Rfam family "Bacterial small subunit ribosomal RNA", at positions 29 to 524 of the family's 1533-position model. The record is from RNAcentral.